RNAcentral lists this ribosomal RNA (336 nucleotides) under uncultured Polymyxa. RNAcentral describes it as "SSU rRNA". The stretch from base 124 to 336 matches the Rfam family "Eukaryotic small subunit ribosomal RNA", at positions 744 to 955 of the family's 1831-position model. Lineage: Eukaryota; Endomyxa; Phytomyxea; Plasmodiophorida; Plasmodiophoridae. The record is from RNAcentral.
GACUUGUGUGCGCCGGAUGCGGCGGUCUGCGGUCAAAAGAUCGUUGCGACCAGCCCGUCCUGGCGCCGUAAAAUCUGCAACUGAGUCGUCGCUGGCCUUAACUGGUCGGCGGCGCCUGCUCGGUUGCUCGUUUACUGUGAGAAAAUUGGAGUGUUCAAGGCAGGCAUUAUUGCAACUGAACAUGUUAGCAUGGAAUAAUAAGAUAGGGCUCCGGCUCCAUUUUGUUGGUUUCUAGAGCGGGAGUAAUGAUUGAUAGGGACAGUUGGGGGUGCUAGUAUUCAGCGGCCAGAGGUGAAAUUCAUGGAUUCGCUGAAGACUGACUUAUGCGAAAGCAUU